AACGAACGCUGGCGGCAGGCUUAACACAUGCAAGUCGAACGCCCUAGCAAUAGGGAGUGGCGCACGGGUGAGUAACGCGUGGGAAUGUACCGUUUAGUGGGGGAUACCCAAGGGAAACUUUGGCUAAUACCGCAUACGCCCUUCGGGGGAAAGAUUUAUCGCUAAACGAUCAGCCCGCGGGAGAUUAGGUAGUUGGUGGGGUAACGGCCUACCAAGCCGACGAUCUCUAGCUGGUCUGAGAGGAUGAUCAGCCACACUGGAACUGAGAAACGGUCCAGACUCCUACGGGAGGCAGCAGUGGGGAAUAUUGGACAAUGGGGGCAACCCUGAUCCAGCCAUGCCGCGUGAGUGAUGAAGGCCUUAGGGUUGUAAAGCUCGUUUACCGAUGAAGAUAAUGACGGUAGUCGGAGAAAAAGCCCCGGCUAACUUCGUGCCAGCCGCCGCAGUAA
RNAcentral lists this ribosomal RNA (449 nucleotides) under uncultured bacterium. RNAcentral's name for it is "partial 16S ribosomal RNA". It matches the Rfam family "Bacterial small subunit ribosomal RNA", at positions 29 to 523 of the family's 1533-position model. The record is from RNAcentral.